AUCGGAGGAGCAGUGCCUGCCCAGCGCCCACCCAGGCUUCCCUUGUAGAACAAAGAAAAAAUUCUCACGUAGCUGGGCUCCCGUAUACGCGCGCCCGGCCGGCCUCCUCCACAGCCAGGGCAGGACUCGACCGCGCGGGGCCGGCCGGAACAAGAGACCUAUUUUGCAUCCAUGAUUAAUCUUUUCUGUGUUGAUUUAACUAUACAAUAAGCUCAAUAGAUGCUUUCCUGUCAAGUACCUGUAAAAAUAUAAAACGAUUUUUUUUCCAGAUAAAAAACACGGAGUACAAAUGAGCAUGGCUAUAUUUUAGGCGUCUGAUUUUUAAGGAAAAAACUUCAAAAUAGUCGCCGCAUCAGAACGUGUUGUCCUUGGUUAAGAUUCGAUGAUCAAACACGUCCACUGAUCUCUGACUAAACUAAAAAAAAGAUGACUUCUUAAUAGCAAAACCGAAAGUACUCUUCAUAAUUUUAUGGAACAAAUAUAGACCUAAAAUUAUUCUAGUUUCAGGUUGCUUCGAGUUGAAGAUGUACGCAAAAUCCUCAAAGCACUAGAGCCUUAGGGAAUAUCUACACUAGUAAGUUCUUUUCCUUUCUUCUGGACAUGCUUAGCAGUGUAGAUACUCCCUAAGGCUUCGGUCGUAUUGGAUUGUUGUGGACAUUUGAGAAUCGUUGCAUGCAAAAGUGCUAAGCAUGCCCAACCUCCCCAGUGCCUGACACCUCCACCGCUCGUGGCUGCCUCGCGAUUCGGACACAGCUGCCAUUUUCCCCCACGCCUGAUUUUUCAUCCGCGUUUCUCACCUGUUUAAUCCUUCGAUAAAGCUGACCUCCCCUCCUGCGCCUCUGCUCCAUCGGCGUCGAGCAGAGCGUUUUGGGGAUGAAGAAGCACAUGGAUUUUGUAGUCGCAAUAACUUCCAGUGUUGCCUUUCGUUUGGAUCUGAAGAUAGUGCUUGUUUGAAGGGGAAACAUCCAUCAGGAUGAUACCUGUGCUUAGGCUGCUACUUGCUCUACUUCAUUCUUCUGGACUUGUCUGCUUUAGUUAUUGAUGUGUACUACUUUUGUUCUUUGGUACAGGUCUGGUACAAGGAUUAGAGCAUUAUACUUGUACAAAAAAAAAAA
RNAcentral lists this precursor RNA (1115 nucleotides) under Brachypodium distachyon (stiff brome). RNAcentral describes it as "precursor microRNA 5200a.6". The stretch from base 546 to 637 matches the Rfam family "MIR5200 microRNA precursor family". The record is from RNAcentral. Lineage: Eukaryota; Viridiplantae; Streptophyta; Magnoliopsida; Poales; Poaceae.